This 302-nucleotide unclassified non-coding RNA is filed under the name Hevea brasiliensis (rubber tree). The record is from RNAcentral. Lineage: Eukaryota; Viridiplantae; Streptophyta; Magnoliopsida; Malpighiales; Euphorbiaceae.
AGGCCAACAAUUUCCAGGUCAAGGAGAGAGGGGCAGGCUGACAAUGCCCCACAAAGUGAGGUGUUAUCCAUUCUUUCAAUAUUGUAAAGGUGCAACCUUCUCAAAAGAGUCCCUGCAGCACCACUAUCCCCACUCAAAGGGCUUAGGCAGGAUCUAGUGAGAAUAGAUGAUUCUUUCCCUUGUCUGGUCUUUUUGUCAUUCCAUGAAAAGUUAGAUACAUCUACAGAAUUCCUGAUGCUAUAAACUAAUGGCUGACAAGAUCCUGGUGACACCGUUGGACCUGGAACUAUACCAAGCUUAAG